GGAGAGAUGGCAGAGCGGUUGAAUGCGGCGGUCUUGAAAACCGUUGGGCGCGUGAGCGUCUCGAGGGUUCGAAUCCCUCUCUCUCCGCCA
Molecule: transfer RNA, 90 nt
Filed under: Enorma massiliensis
Lineage: Bacteria; Bacillati; Actinomycetota; Coriobacteriia; Coriobacteriales; Coriobacteriaceae
Also listed under: 2 other names
Description: tRNA-Ser
Rfam family: tRNA
About the family: Transfer RNA (tRNA) molecules are approximately 80 nucleotides in length. Their secondary structure includes four short double-helical elements and three loops (D, anti-codon, and T loops). Further hydrogen bonds mediate the characteristic L-shaped molecular structure. tRNAs have two regions of fundamental functional importance: the anti-codon, which is responsible for specific mRNA codon recognition, and the 3' end, to which the tRNAs corresponding amino acid is attached (by aminoacyl-tRNA synthetases). tRNAs cope with the degeneracy of the genetic code in two manners: having more than one tRNA (with a specific anti-codon) for a particular amino acid; and 'wobble' base-pairing, i.e. permitting non-standard base-pairing at the 3rd anti-codon position.
Source: RNAcentral